Molecule: ribosomal RNA, 253 nt
Filed under: uncultured bacterium
Lineage: Bacteria
Description: partial 16S ribosomal RNA
Rfam family: Bacterial small subunit ribosomal RNA
Source: RNAcentral
UACGGGGGGGGCAAGCGUUGUUCGGAAUUACUGGGCGUAAAGGGUUCGUAGGUGGCCCGCUAAGUCACACGUGAAAUCCCUCAGCUUAACUGGGGAACUGCGUGUGAGACUGGCAGGCUUGAGUGCAGGAGAGGAACGCGGAAUUCCAGGUGUAGCGGUGAAAUGCGUAGAUAUCUGGAGGAACACCGGUGGCGAAGGCGGCGUUCUGGACUGUAUCUGACACUGAGGCACGAAAGCGUGGGGAGCAAACAGG